UUAAAUUGAAGAGUUUGAUCAUGGCUCAGAUUGAACGCUGGCGGCAGGCCUAACACAUGCAAGUCGAACGGUAACAGGAAGCAGCUUGCUGCUUUGCUGACGAGUGGCGGACGGGUGAGUAAUGUCUGGGAAACUGCCCGAUGGAGGGGGAUAA
Molecule: ribosomal RNA, 154 nt
Filed under: Citrobacter amalonaticus
Lineage: Bacteria; Pseudomonadati; Pseudomonadota; Gammaproteobacteria; Enterobacterales; Enterobacteriaceae
Also listed under: 1 other name
Description: partial 16S ribosomal RNA
Rfam family: Bacterial small subunit ribosomal RNA
Source: RNAcentral